Notolabrus celidotus (New Zealand spotty) is the source of this 1755-nucleotide long non-coding RNA. RefSeq lists it as uncharacterized. The transcript is spliced from 4 exons. The record is from RefSeq and is a predicted model, not a curated record. Lineage: Eukaryota; Metazoa; Chordata; Actinopteri; Labriformes; Labridae.
GACAGCACUGUGGAGAAGGAUAAAGUGAAGCAGGCAGCAGACUGCUGUAGGAAGGUCCUCAAUCACGUGAACAAGAAAGGAAAGGGAUCCGAGGACAAGCAGACAGUGGCUUCUUUGUAAGAGUGCCUACUUAUCCCUGUUGUUUCUCCAGAGGUUGGAGGGCUGUCAGAAAAGACUGAUCUCUCCUCUCUAAAGCAGACAGACAACCCCAUCCUGAUCCUGGAGCUAAAGGCAUGCUGCAGUGAAACAAAGCACGGGGAAGGAGGAGGAGGAGGAGGAGAGUGCGUGUUUUGAGGAGGCAUUGAGAAGCCAGACAAGGUCUCCCCCUUUCAUCGAGCAGGAGCCAAUAUCAGAUGGAUUGGACUGAAGAUCAAUAGGCUCCACGGUCUGAUUAAUCCAUGGUCUCUCCUGAGUAAUCACUGUCCCAAGCACAAUGAUGAGCCAGGCCAAACAUCGAGAGGAUGUGCAAAGCCAAUGCUGGGAGAUGAAUGAACUGACUCCUUCAAAUUGGAAAAAUAUGUGAAAAUAUGCACUGCUGAAAGAGCACACAGCUAUGUAUGGCAACCCAGGAAAAGAAUAACUGAACCUAUUCACAUUUUGCUGCAGUGGGACUCUUUAUAAUCGACCUAUCCAAUAAUAAAAAGCCACCUGUGGCAUGAUUUGGCAUUAACCCUGUCUAAUUACCACCUCAAACUUUGAUGGAGUACCUGGGAAAAAAAGCUUCCGGCAGGCCAGCUGGCAUGGGGCUCCCAGGUUCAGCCUGCUGUGAAAGAGAAACCAGAGACAGCUCCACACAGCCUCUGAGCUGUUGAACUGUGAUCUGGGACUGAGCUUAACAUAGCUCAGGGCUGUGGCAGAAAUCAAUGGCCCUUUUGGCAGGCAUGUUUUUGCUGAUUUUGGUGACCAGUGGAAAGGUACACAGCUGCUGUCGUGCCAGGUUGGUUCAGCAGGGACAGAAAAUCUGGUUUUAGUAAUCAAUGCCACGCAAACAAAGAGAAAAAGGAAGGAGAGACUCCAAAUGAAAAAGGGAGAUGUUCACAGCUGAAGUGUGUUGAUGGACAAAUGGCUGGAGUCAGCUGGCUGUGUCCUCUCAGCAUGUAAUGGAACCACAGCCACUGAAUGUGACAGUGAUGAAUGGAGGCUGUCUCCUUCCCUUUGAUGCUUGAUGUUGUUAAGAAGAGGAAUUGAUUUGUUACCUAUUAUCCUAAAUAUAUGUCUAUGACAUGUGUAAUGUUGUAAACAAACAGACAAGCCCAGCAUCAUGUUGGUUGACUAAUUUGGGGCCCUUUCGUCAUUUGAAAUGCAGCAACUGUCUUCUCUGUGGGAGUGAAACUGAUAAACUUUGCAGUGCUCUUAAAUCUUUUUUUUUUUAAUCACUUGAACAGACAAAUCUGAGAGUGGUAUUGUGUUAAUGAAAAUCUUAGCAAGAUAAUUAAAUGGAAAAAAGUAAAACUAAUUUAUGAAGGUAAAUAUGUUACAAAAUGCUCGAGCUUGUAGACUUGAUAUGAGAACCUACAGAAUACGAUUUGAGAACUUGUGGAUCAAAAUCUGAACUUGUAUGUUUCAUUUUUCAUUUGUAAAAAAAUUCACACACAUGUGAGCUGAAUGUGAACCCCUCACCCAUCAUGAUUUGCUAGCUGUCAACAAGUUACAGCUGGAGUUGUUUAUAUCGGUCCACGCACACCUGCCGACCAUGUCAGAAGGAGUGCUACAUUGACUAAACAUACCAUAAUUAAAAUACUUUGUCCCAGUUGG